Molecule: ribosomal RNA, 1383 nt
Filed under: Klebsiella pneumoniae
Lineage: Bacteria; Pseudomonadati; Pseudomonadota; Gammaproteobacteria; Enterobacterales; Enterobacteriaceae
Description: bacterial SSU rRNA
Rfam family: Bacterial small subunit ribosomal RNA
Source: RNAcentral
UCGAGCGGUAGCACAGAGAGCUUGCUCUCGGGUGACGAGCGGCGGACGGGUGAGUAAUGUCUGGGAAACUGCCUGAUGGAGGGGGAUAACUACUGGAAACGGUAGCUAAUACCGCAUAACGUCGCAAGACCAAAGUGGGGGACCUUCGGGCCUCAUGCCAUCAGAUGUGCCCAGAUGGGAUUAGCUAGUAGGUGGGGUAACGGCUCACCUAGGCGACGAUCCCUAGCUGGUCUGAGAGGAUGACCAGCCACACUGGAACUGAGACACGGUCCAGACUCCUACGGGAGGCAGCAGUGGGGAAUAUUGCACAAUGGGCGCAAGCCUGAUGCAGCCAUGCCGCGUGUGUGAAGAAGGCCUUCGGGUUGUAAAGCACUUUCAGCGGGGAGGAAGGCGGUAAGGUUAAUAACCUUGGCGAUUGACGUUACCCGCAGAAGAAGCACCGGCUAACUCCGUGCCAGCAGCCGCGGUAAUACGGAGGGUGCAAGCGUUAAUCGGAAUUACUGGGCGUAAAGCGCACGCAGGCGGUCUGUCAAGUCGGAUGUGAAAUCCCCGGGCUCAACCUGGGAACUGCAUUCGAAACUGGCAGGCUAGAGUCUUGUAGAGGGGGGUAGAAUUCCAGGUGUAGCGGUGAAAUGCGUAGAGAUCUGGAGGAAUACCGGUGGCGAAGGCGGCCCCCUGGACAAAGACUGACGCUCAGGUGCGAAAGCGUGGGGAGCAAACAGGAUUAGAUACCCUGGUAGUCCACGCCGUAAACGAUGUCGAUUUGGAGGUUGUGCCCUUGAGGCGUGGCUUCCGGAGCUAACGCGUUAAAUCGACCGCCUGGGGAGUACGGCCGCAAGGUUAAAACUCAAAUGAAUUGACGGGGGCCCGCACAAGCGGUGGAGCAUGUGGUUUAAUUCGAUGCAACGCGAAGAACCUUACCUGGUCUUGACAUCCACAGAACUUUCCAGAGAUGGAUUGGUGCCUUCGGGAACUGUGAGACAGGUGCUGCAUGGCUGUCGUCAGCUCGUGUUGUGAAAUGUUGGGUUAAGUCCCGCAACGAGCGCAACCCUUAUCCUUUGUUGCCAGCGGUUCGGCCGGGAACUCAAAGGAGACUGCCAGUGAUAAACUGGAGGAAGGUGGGGAUGACGUCAAGUCAUCAUGGCCCUUACGACCAGGGCUACACACGUGCUACAAUGGCAUAUACAAAGAGAAGCGACCUCGCGAGAGCAAGCGGACCUCAUAAAGUAUGUCGUAGUCCGGAUUGGAGUCUGCAACUCGACUCCAUGAAGUCGGAAUCGCUAGUAAUCGUAGAUCAGAAUGCUACGGUGAAUACGUUCCCGGGCCUUGUACACACCGCCCGUCACACCAUGGGAGUGGGUUGCAAAAGAAGUAGGUAGCUUA